RNAcentral lists this non-coding RNA (404 nucleotides) under Paenibacillus sp. FSL R7-0331. Its description in RNAcentral is "cspA thermoregulator". It matches the Rfam family "cspA thermoregulator", at positions 96 to 428 of the family's 428-position model. The record is from Rfam by way of RNAcentral. Lineage: Bacteria; Bacillati; Bacillota; Bacilli; Caryophanales; Paenibacillaceae.
GUUGUUAAUCAUAAAUUUAACCCUUAAUUCACAUAUUGUAAAAGGUUAUCAUUUGUGCGUAUGAUCCUUUUCCAAUGUGUGAAUUUUUAUUUGUUCGUACACUACGUAAGAAUAAAAGGACAUGUGUUAAAUAAACUAUUGGAGGUAAUACAAAUGCAAACAGGUACAGUUAAAUGGUUCAACGCAGACAAAGGUUUCGGUUUUAUCGAGGUUGAAGGUGGAAGCGACGUAUUCGUUCACUUCUCCGCAAUCACUGGUGAAGGCUUCAAGUCUUUGGACGAAGGCCAACGCGUUGAGUUCAACGUAACUCAGGGCGCUCGUGGACCACAAGCAGAAAACGUUGUAAAACUGUAAUACGCUAACAAGCGAAGAAGCUGUCCUUAACAUCUGUUGAGGGCAGCUUU